GUGAGGAAUAUUGGUCAAUGGGCGGGAGCCUGAACCAGCCAAGUCGCGUGAAGGAAGAAGGAUCUAUGGUUCGUAAACUUCUUUUGCAGGGGAAUAAAGUGCAGGACGUGUCCUGUUUUGUAUGUACCCUGAGAAUAAGGAUCGGCUAACUCCGUGCCAGCAGCCGCGGUAAUACGGAGGAUCCGAGCAUUAUCCGGAUUUAUUGGGUUUAAAGGGUGCGUAGGUGGUUUGAUAAGUCAGCGGUGAAAGUUUGCAGCUUAACUGUAAAAAUGCCGUUGAAACUGUCGGACUUGAGUGUAAAUGAGGUAGGCGGAAUGCGUGGUGUAGCGGUGAAAUGCAUAGAUAUCACGCAGAACUCCGAUUGCGAAGGCAGCUUACUAAGCUACAACUGACACUGAAGCACGAAAGCGUGGGGAUCAAACAGGAUUAGAAACCCGGGUAGUCC
Molecule: ribosomal RNA, 445 nt
Filed under: uncultured bacterium
Lineage: Bacteria
Description: partial 16S ribosomal RNA
Rfam family: Bacterial small subunit ribosomal RNA
Source: RNAcentral